This 535-nucleotide ribosomal RNA is filed under the name uncultured bacterium. RNAcentral describes it as "partial 16S ribosomal RNA". It matches the Rfam family "Bacterial small subunit ribosomal RNA", at positions 355 to 880 of the family's 1533-position model. The record is from RNAcentral.
UGGGGAAUAUUGGACAAUGGGGGCAACCCUGAUCCAGCCAUGCCGCGUGUGUGAAGAAGGCCUUUUGGUUGUAAAGCACUUUAAGCAGGGAGGAGAGGCUAAUGGUUAAUACCCAUUAGAUUAGACGUUACCUGCAGAAUAAGCACCGGCUAACUCUGUGCCAGCAGCCGCGGUAAUACAGAGGGUGCGAGCGUUAAUCGGAAUUACUGGGCGUAAAGCGAGUGUAGGUGGCUCAUUAAGUCACAUGUGAAAUCCCCGGGCUUAACCUGGGAACUGCAUGUGAUACUGGUGGUGCUAGAAUAUGUGAGAGGGAAGUAGAAUUCCAGGUGUAGCGGUGAAAUGCGUAGAGAUCUGGAGGAAUACCGAUGGCGAAGGCAGCUUCCUGGCAUAAUAUUGACACUGAGAUUCGAAAGCGUGGGUAGCAAAACAGGAUUAGAUACCCUGGUAGUCCACGCCGUAAACGAUGUCUACUAGCCGUUGGGGUCCUUGAGACUUUAGUGGCGCAGUUAACGCGAUAAGUAGACCGCCUGGGGAG